This 372-nucleotide unclassified non-coding RNA is filed under the name soil metagenome. RNAcentral's name for it is "partial contains 5.8S ribosomal RNA, internal transcribed spacer 2, and large subunit ribosomal RNA". The stretch from base 1 to 121 matches the Rfam family "5.8S ribosomal RNA", at positions 35 to 154 of the family's 154-position model. The record is from RNAcentral.
GAUGAAGAACGUAGCGAAAUGCGAUAAGUAAUGCGAAUUGCAGAAUUUCCGUGAGUCAUCGAAUCUUUGAACGCACAUUGCGCCCCCUGGCAUUCCGGGGGGCAUGCCUGUUCGAGCGUCUCCGGGAAGGAGGCUCACGCGACUGAACGCGCGGUGUUGGCGGCGACGGCGGGCCCGAGCGGGCGGCCACCUCGCUGGAAUCCAUGGGCGGACGCCUGCGGCGCGGCCGAGCGUGAUAUGACUCAUCGGCGCUCGAGCGCGGCGAGGCUGCCUGCCCCUGGCCCGUGCGUCGGGCGGGGAGAGCAAGACAAUGGAACUCCUCGAAUCAGGCAGGGAUACCCGCUGAACUUAAGCAUAUCAAUAAGCGGAGGA